UUUUUUUUUUUUUUUUUUCUACUCGUCUCAUCGCUCGAGCAACGCUUGCUCUGAGCUCAAGCUUCAAGCCUCCAUAGCAGAAGCUUGAAGCUUUGUUGCUCCCUCUCUCUCUCUCCAUCUCUCUCUUCUUCCCUGUCUCUCAUAAGUUACUUUUAGGGCUGGGCAUCUGAGCACUGCCCUCGCCGCCUCCUCCCGUCUCUGCGAUUCUGUCAGUUGAAGUCUCGGCGUCACACGCCACCGAACAGGCGCGCACCAUUGGCUCGUCGUGAGCUGGAGUUUCUCAUCUCUGAUCUCUACAAUCAUGUAGAUUUUUAGUUCCCUUUUUGUCCUUGUUACUGAAGAUUUGAUUUAUAGCUUAUUUAUAUCUAAUUUGAUUUUAUUUAUAUGAAUUCUUGUGUGUAACCUGAUUGAUUAUUUUUUCAUAGAAAGUGAUGAAAUGCUUUUAGAUUUUGACAUUAUGGGUCCAUUGUGUUCCCUAUUCUGGUUAUAGAAUUCAUUGGUUUCAAUUUUUUCAGUUGUUUUUGUUUUUUGUUUUUAUUAUCUCAUUUGAAGUCUCUAGCACUCAGAAGUCUGAAGGAUAUUUGCUCAGUUAUGCUAUUCACAUGGGUUGUAAUUUCUGAGAUCCUGCUUAUGUUGAAUUGUUCAUUUGAUGCUUCUCUGCAAUUUUUUUUCAUGUAUUGGUCCUUAAAAGAAGUAUUAAUAUGUUAAUCAACUUCUAUAUUCUAUUUAAAAAGAAUUCUUGAAUAUGUAGUCUUUUGCACAUCAGCUUGCCAUUAGUAUGAGCUCUGCAGUCAAAAUUAACUCAAUUUAUUGUGAUUGAUCGUUUCACUUAACAUGACAAGUUUUGAUAAGAGCUUGUUCAGUAUGUGACAGUAAAUAUCAUGUAUUUUGUACACAAGUUUUUUCUUAGACAUUUGUUCAAACUAGUAGGAAUUGUUACAGAAGAAGUUUUCUACUCAAGUUUUCAUUUUGAUCAAUUUCAUAGACACAUUAUAGAGGUAUCAAAUGUCAAUGUUUAGCCGUAGGGUGCCCUUUGGUUAUGGAUUUUGUGAGUUUUGUUUUGGACUGGUUGAGCAUUACAGAGGUAUCUCUCUCUUCAUCCACAUCUCUCUCUCUCUCUCUCUCUCUCUCUCUCUCUCUCUCUCUCUCUAAGUUAUAUAUAGCCAGUUUUAUUGUUUCUUUAUAUUUGUGUGGCCAUAGUUUGGAUUUUCCUGGUAUUGUCAAGGAUAUGGCUAGUGAACCAUAUUGAAGGUUAUAGUAAGUUGUUCUACUGUUAUGAAAAAUCAAGCUUUGAAUAGAGUUGUCAUGAGCUUGCCCAAAUUGGGUUCCAUGUAGAUUAUGUUCUAAGAAGGCUUGUUAGAUUUGACAGAGUCUAAGAAGGAAAUAUUACAGUGCAUACCUUACCAUGGAAUUCUUUAUUCAUGGAUUGUGUUGUGUGUGGUAGCAAUUUUGUAUCUCAGCUAUAUCAUGGAAUUCUUUAUCUGCUAUUUUAGUUGGAGAAUUGUGAAGAUUUAUUCUCAUUCCAAUUUUGCAAUUUGGUUAUAUACAAAUAUGAUGGUGUCUGAAGUGACAUUAUUGGGGCCCUAAUGGAAUUUUGCACAAUUUGCAUGAUCUUGAUGUGGUGGAUGAAGAAAGCUCUUGCGCAAAUCAAGCAGGGAACACACCCAUUUGCAUGAGUGAGGACAAUGCUAAUGAAAUUAGUGAUGCUAGAGAUUAGAUAGCCGGAGCAAUAUCAUUAGUCUUAGAAUUUAUUUAGUCUAG
This 1761-nucleotide long non-coding RNA is filed under the name Prunus dulcis (almond). RNAcentral describes it as "sRNA ncRNA". The record is from RNAcentral. Lineage: Eukaryota; Viridiplantae; Streptophyta; Magnoliopsida; Rosales; Rosaceae.